UUAGAACGUCGUGAGACAGUUCGGUCCCUAUCUGCCGUGGGCGCUGGAGAACUGAGGGGGGCUGCUCCUAGUACGAGAGGACCGGAGUGGACGCAUCACUGGUGUUCGGGUUGUCAUGCCAAUGGCAUGCCCGGUAGCUAAAUGCGGAAGAGAUAAGUGCUGAAAGCAUCUAAGCACGAAACUUGCCCCGAGAUGAGUUCUCCCUGACCCUUUAAGGGUCCUGAAGGAACGUUGAAGACGACGACGUUGAUAGG
Molecule: ribosomal RNA, 254 nt
Filed under: Escherichia coli
Lineage: Bacteria; Pseudomonadati; Pseudomonadota; Gammaproteobacteria; Enterobacterales; Enterobacteriaceae
Description: partial 23S ribosomal RNA
Rfam family: Bacterial large subunit ribosomal RNA
Source: RNAcentral